CUCAGCUCCCAAAGGCAAGUCAUUAGUCAGGAAUCUCAGGUUCCAUUACGAAAAAAGAAAUGUUUCCAGACCUCAAAAAUGCUCAGAAAAAAAAAAAAAAACAGAGUUUGAAAAGGAAAAUCCAUUCUAAAGGUUAAAAAACAGCAAGAGAAAAAAAGGGUCUCGUCAUUAAGAAAUAAGAAAUGAAACUUCACUCCAAGGUUGUUAUUAUUUUUAAAAGUAAUAAUUACCUUCUUUUUCCCACAAAGAGGGAAUAGGAGGUGAUGAAGCUUGAGUCAUUGUCUGGGACUACUAAUAUUGAAUUCUACAGUUAAUUUGACAAAUAAAAUCAGAUUAGUAUAAAGAGGUCAAAAUCUCAUAUGAAGGAGGAAGGUUAAUAACAAAACAUGCUUAUUGUUCUAAUGCCUGUUAUGAAUGUCUCAGAUUAAUUGAAAUUUAAUUCUGUUUUGGUUUUGCCAUUGUUUGCACAGCAAUAAGAGAACAUCAGACACUUUACAAACGCUGACGGCUGACUUAGCUGGAAUACAAAUACACGACCUUUAUAUGAGGGAUGGAAGCUGAGCAUUUAAUCAUGUUCUCCGAUUGGUCCCAGGCUGUACCUUUUGCGAGGCUGAAUAGCAUUACAGUCACAAAAUGCACGCUUUGUGGAGUGCUGGCACCAGAGGAAGACAGGCGGAUUCAGUCCAACAAUAGCUUUCCUGUUCCUACAGGACAGCUUGUGUCUUUACUAGCAAAAUGCUGAAGUGCCAUCAAUUCCUUGCGUGUGUCUUUGCUCCCAUGACCUCCUCUGACGGCGUCUUUCAAAGAAUUUAUUACUACACCAUGAACCUUUAGGAAAGAACACCACUACAGAGGACACCAUAUAAACAACCACUGCAGAGACAUGCUGUCCAGAGAGGGCCUGCAGAUUACAGCUGAGAAUUCAGGAAGCAAUAUCCCAGGUUAGAAAGUGGACGAACAGGACUAGGUGGAGAGAGUAAGGCCACAGACUGGUCUAGACAUAGAAGAGUGGCCAUUAACGAGUUUGGAAUUUUAUUUAUUUAAGUAUUUAUUUAACACAAUCCACUGAAGUGCCACAUUUAGAUUAGAUGUUGGUGGAAACUUUUUGCUGAGAGGGCGGUGAGGCGCUGGCACAGCUGCCCAGAGAAGCUGUGGUGCCCCAUCCCUGGAGGCUCUCAAGGCCAGGUUGGAUGGGACCCUGGGCAGCCUGAGGUGGUGGGGGGCAGCCCUGCCCACAGCACGGGUUGGGGUGGGUGGACCUGUAGGUUUAUUCCAACCCAAACCGUUCUGUGAUUCUAUGAUUCUAUUGUAUUUGGAAUACUCAGUGGAAUAGUGUUCCUCCCAGUUCCUUCAGUUGAUGUCCACAAUAAGAUGUAGCUCCUGACUUGGGCAGUCCGGAGAGAGCAACCAAACAAAACUUCAUUGUUCUUGUGGACAUACAAAAAUAUGAAAUCUCACCACAAAGACUGCUAUUCUUGCCUCACAAAGACUACUAUUCUUGCCUCACUCAGAGCUAGCCAGAUAGCUCAGGUGUCCUAUCUAGGUAAGAGUUUGAGCAAAGAGCCCUAUUGUCCUUGAUACUUUUAAAACAGAAUUUUCCCUCUCUCAGGAGUGAGACACUUGCCUCUGGCUCACCCUCUACCCUCUUCCUUAUGCUGUGUUUAUCAACUCUGCUCAUCCAAGAUAAUCCAGACCAAACAUCCUUUUGUUUGACUGCUUGAAAAUGUUGUGACUCAUGAUCAUGAGGUCUAGCAGCACAGUGGAACCAUCUUUCCACUGCAUCGAGUUCAUCAUAAGGUUAAAUUAGCCUGUGC
Long non-coding RNA from Gallus gallus (chicken), 1814 nucleotides. NCBI's taxonomy places the organism in Eukaryota, Metazoa, Chordata, Aves, Galliformes, Phasianidae. The record is from Ensembl.